AAUUUACCCUAACGCUAGAAAUAUAUAAUUUCCUCUCAUUUCUUCCUCCCAGCAGCCGCUCGAAGACUCCCGCCGAAUUUUAUGCAAACAGAUUUGCUCACUAUGGGAGAAUCUAGCCGAUCGGAUCCAAUUGGAACACGUCUCAAAUGGUUGAAGAUUCCCAAAUUGGAGAAAGGGUUGGUCGCAGGCCGAAGACAGAUCGGACUCGACGCAGCUGGUCUACUCGUGAGGAAGAGGCCUUGAUGUUAGCCCUAAAAGACCUUGUUGUAAACAAGUGGAAAUCAGAUAACGGCUUUCGUGGUGGGUAUCUAGCUCGGAUUGAGGAAAUCAUCAAGCGUGAAUGCCCGAAAAGCGAAAUUAAGGCAACCCCCCAUAUCAGCUCCAAGCUCCAGCAAUGAAAAAAAAACUACUCCUCUCUGGUUAACAUGCUCAAUUGAAGCGGUGUUGGCUUCAAUUACAAGGGCGAUCACAAGAUUGAUUGUGAUAACGACCAAUGGGAACAAAUUGUUAGCUAGAUAACAAUGCACGCUACAUGCGUUUCAAGUCGUGGCCUCUGUUUGAUGAAUGGAAAGAAAUUUUUGGCAAGGAUCGUGCAACGGGAUCUUCUAGUCGGGAUUUGCAGGAACUUUACCAUGGUGUGCGCUCACAUCUCAAUGUGGGUAAUGGGAGUCAAGAGGCUGAGUUUGAAGCUAGCGACGCAUGACGCUUAUGCGUCUUUAAAAAAAAUUCGGAAAAAUUAAGAGAUGCAUGUCCCUCAUGCGUCUUUGUAAAAGAUGCAUAAUUGUCAUGCGUUUCAUUAAAAGGAGACGCAUGAGGGUCAUGCGUCUCUCCCAAAGGUGGAAUAAAAAAAAAGUUCAGUACACUCGAGGAAUGAUAACUGCAGCCUAGAACCAAAAAAAGAAAAAACCCUUAAUGACAGUCUGUGUAAUUGACUAACUUCAGGAAGCAGAAAGCCUUUUAGCCAAGUUGCAUCUUGCUGUAAGGAGCUCACCAGAAUAACUGCUCCUUCCUUAUGAAGAUGACACAAUGAGGGUAUGCAGAUGCAAUCAGUUAUUCUGUGUCUAAAUAGAUACUCAAGGUCAUGUCCUCUUAUCUCAUCCUUCUGUUUACAUUGUACAAAAAGCCCAUGGCCCAUGCACUUAUUCUGUGUUUGCUGGUGACAGGAAAUUUUCCAACUAUUUAUGAUUGCUUUUGAGCAAUUGUCUUGUGAGUCAGGCCGCAAUUACUAUAGGGCUUUGCAUAUUGUGGGAACUGUUGCAAAAGUAAGAUCAUCGUUGAUGUUACUGGAUGUAGAUACUGAUGGGCUGGUUGUCGAGAUGUUCCAACUUUUUCUUAACAACAUUGGGUCCAACAACCCUUCCGACGUCUUCAAAUACAUGGAAAUGAUCAUGACUAUGGUGAUAGAAGAAAGUGAUGAUAUAUCAUUUAAUCUCCUAAGGCCCCUUCUAGCUAGUGUCAAAAUGAAAAAUAGGGAUAUUUCGCCUAUUUCAUGGGAAUUGGGGAAAAAAGUCUUAGAAAAUUGUGAAACUAAACUCCAGAGUUAUCUCAGAGAAGCAGCAAAGUAUGAACUCAGUUGGAUGAGAAAGAGUAGCUUUCAGAAAAUUGGAUAUGAGAAGAAACUUCCAGUGAUCCUAUAGGUCGAAGGAAGUCUCACCUGCUGCUGCUGGUGUGGAAAUCCAAACAGAUCGAAUUUCAAAGUCUGCAUGAAAUUUUCUCUCUGCAAACUGAUGAUGGUAAUGUAACUAAGCUGGGCAGUGAAAAUUUAUUGGAAGCAGUAAAAGAGUCGCAUCAGAUUGUACUAUCAGAAGCAGAUAAAGGUGCUUUUCAAAAGAGAAGGAAGAAGAAACCUAGUUCUGCAGUAAGAACCGAGGAGGAUAAACAUACUAUGAAAAUCGGAGAUUGGUAUUCCCAUGAAGGAUCCCGUGGCAAUAAUGAGGAGAAAAAUGACUUAGCUUUGACGUCAGAGCAGGUAAACUCGAGCAUGUUUAGCAAUUCAUCGCGAAAAAAGAUCGAUUCAUUUAGUGAAGACAGUCUUGCAAAAUAUGGUCAGUCAAAGAAGAAAAGGAGCAUGAUUAAUCAGCACAAGGAGGACCUUGAGUUUUCAUUGACAUUAAAAAGGAAAAUCUUGAAAAUGAAGGAGAGAGGACACAAUGCUCCCAAGAAAACAGGUAAAACAGUUAUUGCUGGAUCUGGUAAGGUGAGGGUGGAAAAGGUAAGAGGGGUGAUUGGCGACACAAACAAAGAAGAAAAACAUCAGCUUUCGCCUCUGAAACUGUUUGCGAGGAAAGAAAUUAUUUCCCAUAAAUAUGUAUCGAAAGAUGCUGCCCAAAAGGUUGUUAUGUCUUUCUUAUGUCUGAUGAAAUUUUCUCAUACAUGUAUUUUAAAAUAAUUUGUGCAGGUGGGGGAAUUUCCUAUGUCUAAACCUUCAAAAGCCAAUUUAGAAAAAGGAUAAGAUAUCCGUUCAGAAGAAGUCGAGAAGGCCCAGAGUCGAUUUCGGGGAACAUUUAGUCAAUUUAUGGAUACAAGUCUGGUGGCCAAUGGAUGAAAUGUUUUGUAUGACGACGAUGAAAUAGAGUUCUUGAAUCUGAGAAAAGAAAAUUGGAAACUGUGUGGUGACGAAAAGUCUCUGCAAAUGUAUUGAUUUGACAAAUCCUUGCGGAAAGAAGUAGCUGAUCGUUCAUCUCCUUCCAAAGAGCUUAGCAAUCCACACGACUGGCAUUCUCCACUCGAGGACAGUCGUAAACCAACUUUCCAUCGUUUGGUAUUUAUGGAAACAAUGAACCUGAUCCGUUUUAUGAACUCGAUCAGGACUAAAGAACACACAAAAAGAAAAGGGAGCCCAUUGAAGAAACAGCUAAAUCAGGCUGUCUCAUCAUCUAAAAGUGUUAAAGUGUGACAAAUUCGACUGAUCAUCAACUAAGCUCAAAACUUUCAGGUCAGAUCAGCAAUCCCUAAUAAUGCUGACAUUUAUCCGGUCAGAUCAGAAGUGAAAACCUUGCCCUCGGUAUAUCUGAAUACACUUCUUCGCCUGGUUUUCAUCAAGUCGUUACUGAAUUUGACGAAGUGACUUGUGAAACGAAUGUCUCAGCAAAAGAUAGUGGGGUGAAUCGUGUGAGCAAGGAAGAGUUUUGCCACACCUCCAAGAAGUUGAAAGAAAUGGUUAGUAUAUUAUUAAUGCAUGGAUGCUGGUUUCUAAUCUUGAUGCAUACCGUGUUGAAGGAUUGCCGAGAAUUUAACUGCUAGGACGAAACCAAUUCACCGAGCAUGUGACAAGCCGGAAAGAAGCUGUAAUCGGCUCCUUGUGUUUCACAAGGAUUACCCUUGACUACAUAUAUGGAUAGGACACUUAUUGAAAGCUGCCUUUUUGAUCUCUACAAUAGCACUUUGAAAUCUCAGUCAUGCAGAUAAGAUUUUGUCACUUAUAGUUUCCUAAUGUACGAUCAAAACUAACUGAUUUAGGAACCAAAAUCGCCAAAUUAUUUGAGCAAAACGAAUACAAUUAUUAUCCAA
Molecule: long non-coding RNA, 3510 nt
Organism: Salvia splendens (bonfire salvia)
Lineage: Eukaryota; Viridiplantae; Streptophyta; Magnoliopsida; Lamiales; Lamiaceae
Exons: 13
Source: RefSeq, a predicted model, not a curated record